CGGAGCGACGCCGCGUGAUGGAUGAAGGCCCUCGGGUUGUAAACAUCUGUCGUAGGGGAGGAAAUUUUGACCGAUCCUAGGAGGAAGCACAGGCUAAGUUCGUGCCAGCAGCCGCGGUAAUACGAACUGUGCAAACGUUAUUCGGAAUCACUGGGCUUAAAGGGUGCGUAGGCGGAUUGGUAGGUCAGAUGUGAAAUCCCACGGCUCAACCGUGGAACUGCGUUUGAAACCACUAGUCUUGAGGGGAUCAGAGGAGAGCGGAACUGAUGGUGGAGCGGUGAAAUGCGUUGAUAUCAUCAGGAACACCGGUGGCGAAAGCGGCUCUCUGGGAUCUUUCUGACGCUGAGGCACGAAAGCUAGGGGAGCGAACGGGAUUAGAUACCCCGGUAGUCCUAGCUGUAAACGAUCUGUACUAGUCCGUGGGAACUUCCACAUUUUCUCGGACGUAGCGAAAGUGUUAAGUACAGCGCCUGGGGAGUAUGGUCGCAAGGCUGAAACUCAAAGGAAUUGACGGGGCCUUCACACAAAAGG
This 531-nucleotide ribosomal RNA is filed under the name uncultured Planctomycetota bacterium. RNAcentral describes it as "bacterial SSU rRNA". It matches the Rfam family "Bacterial small subunit ribosomal RNA", at positions 387 to 932 of the family's 1533-position model. The record is from RNAcentral. Lineage: Bacteria; Pseudomonadati; Planctomycetota.